CGGACGGGUGAGUAAUGUCUGGGAAACUGCCUGAUGGAGGGGGAUAACUACUGGAAACGGUAGCUAAUACCGCAUAAUGUCGCAAGACCAAAGUGGGGGACCUUCGGGCCUCAUGCCAUCAGAUGUGCCCAGAUGGGAUUAGCUAGUAGGUGGGGUAACGGCUCACCUAGGCGACGAUCCCUAGCUGGUCUGAGAGGAUGACCAGCCACACUGGAACUGAGACACGGUCCAGACUCCUACGGGAGGCAGCAGUGGGGAAUAUUGCACAAUGGGCGCAAGCCUGAUGCAGCCAUGCCGCGUGUGUGAAGAAGGCCUUCGGGUUGUAAAGCACUUUCAGCGGGGAGGAAGGCGUUAAGGUUAAUAACCUUGUCGAUUGACGUUACCCGCAGAAGAAGCACCGGCUAACUCCGUGCCAGCAGCCGCGGUAAUACGGAGGGUGCAAGCGUU
This 447-nucleotide ribosomal RNA is filed under the name Klebsiella pneumoniae. RNAcentral's name for it is "bacterial SSU rRNA". It matches the Rfam family "Bacterial small subunit ribosomal RNA", at positions 99 to 542 of the family's 1533-position model. The record is from RNAcentral. Lineage: Bacteria; Pseudomonadati; Pseudomonadota; Gammaproteobacteria; Enterobacterales; Enterobacteriaceae.